CCUACGGGUGUCAGCAGUGAGGAAUAUUGGUCAAUGGGCUUACGCCUGAACCAGCCAAGUCGCGUGAGGGAAGACUGCCCUAUGGGUUGUAAACCUCUUUUGUCAGGGAGCAAUUGGCGCUACGUGUAGCGUUAUCGAGAGUACCUGAAGAAAAGGCAUGGGCUAACUCCGUGCCAGCAGCCGCGGUAAUACGGGGGAUGCGAGCGUUAUCCGGUUUUAUUGGGUUAAAAGGGGGCGUAGGCGGAAUGUAAAGUCAGCGGUAAAAUCGGGGGGCCCAACCUAGCUUCGCCAUUGAAACUGGCGUUCUUGAGUGGGCGUGAAGUAUGCGGAAUGCGUGGUGUAGCGGUGAAAUGCAUAGAUAUCACGAAGAACUCCGAUUGUGAAGGCAGCAUACCGGCGCCCAACUGACGCUGAAGCACGAAAGUGUGGGUAUCGAACAGGAUUAGAUACCCGAGUAGUC
Molecule: ribosomal RNA, 460 nt
Filed under: uncultured bacterium
Lineage: Bacteria
Description: partial 16S ribosomal RNA
Rfam family: Bacterial small subunit ribosomal RNA
Source: RNAcentral